This 229-nucleotide ribosomal RNA is filed under the name Escherichia coli. RNAcentral describes it as "partial 16S ribosomal RNA". It matches the Rfam family "Bacterial small subunit ribosomal RNA", at positions 1294 to 1522 of the family's 1533-position model. Lineage: Bacteria; Pseudomonadati; Pseudomonadota; Gammaproteobacteria; Enterobacterales; Enterobacteriaceae. The record is from RNAcentral.
CGGAUUGGAGUCUGCAACUCGACUCCAUGAAGUCGGAAUCGCUAGUAAUCGUGGAUCAGAAUGCCACGGUGAAUACGUUCCCGGGCCUUGUACACACCGCCCGUCACACCAUGGGAGUGAGUUGCAAAAGAAGUAGGUAGCUUAACCUUCGGGAGGGCGCUUACCACUUUGUGAUUCAUGACUGGGGUGAAGUCGUAACAAGGUAACCGUAGGGGAACCUGCGGUUGGA